Molecule: ribosomal RNA, 394 nt
Filed under: uncultured fungus
Lineage: Eukaryota; Fungi
Description: partial small subunit ribosomal RNA
Rfam family: Eukaryotic small subunit ribosomal RNA
Source: RNAcentral
GCUUGUCUCAAAGAUUAAGCCAUGCAUGUUUCAGCAUAGGUUCUUGUACGGCGAAGCUGCGAAUGGCUCCUUAAAGCACUUGCAGUUUAUUUCAAGAUCGUUCCUUACAUGGUAACUUUUGUAGCUCUAGAGCUAUUACAUGCACCCACACCCGUCUUUGUGGAAGGGUUGCGUUUGUUAGUCCAGCCCAGGCUCUGCCUGGUCUUGUUGUAAUUCAUACGAACCGAACGAAUCUCAUGGCAUCAGCUGGCAUUGAAUCAUUCAAGUUUCAAAUGUGUCAGUUUCCGACGGUAGGUAUUGGCCUACCGUGGCAAUGACGGGCAAUGGAGAAUUAGGGUUCGAUUCCGGAGAGGGAGCUUGGAAAACGGUUACCACAUCUAAGGAAGGCAGCAGG